Small nuclear RNA from Mus spicilegus (steppe mouse), 107 nucleotides. Lineage: Eukaryota; Metazoa; Chordata; Mammalia; Rodentia; Muridae. The record is from Ensembl.
GAGCCCACUUCAGCAGCACAUAUAAGAAGAGUGGAAUGGUGCUGAGAAGGUUAGCAUAGCCCCUGUACAAGGAUAAAAUGAAAAUUUGUGAAGUUCCAUCUAUUGUG